This 1028-nucleotide long non-coding RNA is filed under the name Calidris pugnax (ruff). RNAcentral's name for it is "lncRNA (ENSCPUG00000015322.1)". The record is from RNAcentral. Lineage: Eukaryota; Metazoa; Chordata; Aves; Charadriiformes; Scolopacidae.
GCAGGUUGGAGAUGGACAACACUGCAUCCACCUCAGCAGUAGAAGAGUUAAUUAUAUCUGUGAAGAAAAGUGUGUUGGAGCCUCUCAAUGUUAGAAAUAGACCAAACCAGAACAAGUAAGUGCUUCAGAGUACAUCAUCCUUUCAAGUACUGGUGUUGGUGAGAUAAGAGAUAAUACUUAUUUGAGAGGAGAGAGAGAGAACAUACAUUGCUUGUAACUUGAGGGCAGAGAAUCUUAGGGAAUAACCUUUCUUCAGGCAUGUCAUUUCACUCCUGUUGGGAGUGCUUAGCUUACAAUUAAGUCUGUGAUGAGACAGUGUGUGUGGGGGUGUGUGUAUGUACGUACAGCACAAAGCCUAUAGUUAGUACACAGAACUAAAUGUUUUGUUCUGGUGUCCCAAAGGUACACAGCCUCUCAGCACUCAUUAAUUUCAGUGGAUGUGAGACCUUUCAAAGACCUGGAUUCAUACAACAAACUUUUCACCACAGGCUUUGGACCGCUCCUUUCAUUUUGCUCAUGAUGCAGUAGGAACUCGGAAACCAGCUCUGCAUCUAUUCAUCAGCUGCAGCAUGAGCCCUUUUUAUUAGUGCCUUUUGUGGCAAUAGCUGUGAUCUAUUUAAAGUGCUAAGCCUUCAAACUGCAAUUCCUUGCAUCAGAUGUACUAGAAGCAGAUAUCCAUGGAAGAGAGAAAAGAGCAUUCAAGGAGAAGGAGACACUGCUGUGCUUGCCUAGCUCCGCAUCCUUAUAGACGUCAUGGCUAAAUCCGUGUGGCAUGACUGGCAGCCUCAGUCCUAAGUUAACAGCAAAGUCAUUCUCAGCUCAGCAGGUGGUCCUUAAACAUGAACUUUAAAGCUGCAUGGGCGGGUGUAACUUGCUCCAGAAAAGGCCAUUCACUUCAAAAAAGACAGACUUUGGCUCAUUUUCUUCCAAACGCUACGUCCUGUUGCACAAGAGUACACAAGCAAUUCCUUUGCCAAAUCCGACUUAACGACAUUGUCAUCUUUGAAGAAAAGAACCAGAAAAAAUAA